UAGUGGCGGACGGGUGAGUAACGCGUGAGGAUCUGCCCUUAGGACGGGGACAACAGUUGGAAACGACUGCUAAUACCCGAUGUGCCGGAAGGUGAAACAUUUAUGGCCUGAGGAUGAGCUCGCGUCUGAUUAGCUAGUUGGAGUGGUAACGGCACACCAAGGCGACGAUCAGUAGCUGGUCUGAGAGGAUGAUCAGCCACACUGGGACUGAGACACGGCCCAGACUCCUACGGGAGGCAGCAGUGGGGAAUUUUCCGCAAUGGGCGCAAGCCUGACGGAGCAAGACCGCGUGGGGGACGAAGGUUUGUGGAUUGUAAACCCCUUUUGAUUGGGAAGAAGUUCUGACGGUACCAAUCGAAUCAGCAUCGGCUAACUCCGUGCCAGCAGCCGCGGUAAUACGGAGGAUGCAAGCGUUAUCCGGAAUUAUUGGGCGUAAAGCGUCCGUAGGUGGCUAUUCAAGUCAGUUGUUAAAGCGUGGGGCUUAACUCCAUAAAGGCAAAUGAAACUGAUUGGCUAGAGUGCGAUAGGGGCAAGGGGAAUUUCCAGUGUAGCGGUGAAAUGCGUAGAUAUUGGAAAGAACACCGGUGGCGAAAGCGCCUUGCUGGGUCUGCACUGACACUGAGGGACGAAAGCUAGGGGAGCGAAAGGGAUUAGAUACCCCUGUAGUCCUAGCCGUAAACGAUGGAUACUAGGCGUUGUCCGUAUCGACCCGGACAGUGUCGUAGCUAACGCGUUAAGUAUCCCGCCUGGGGAGUACGCUCGCAAGAGUGAAACUCAAAGGAAUUGACGGGGGCCCGCACAAGCGGUGGAGUAUGUGGUUUAAUUCGAUGCAACGCGAAGAACCUUACCAGGGCUUGACAUGUCGCGAAUCUUCUUGAAAGGGAAGAGUGCCUUCGGGAGCGCGAACACAGGUGGUGCAUGGCUGUCGUCAGCUCGUGUCGUGAGAUGUUGGGUUAAGUCCCGCAACGAGCGCAACCCUCGUUUUUAGUUGCCAUCAUUUAGUUGGGCACUCUAGAGAGACUGCCGGUGACAAACCGGAGGAAGGUGGGGAUGACGUCAAGUCAGCAUGCCCCUUACGUCCUGGGCUACACACGUACUACAAUGCUACGGACAAAGGGUCGCAAGCUAGCAAUAGCAAGCCAAUCCCAUAAACCGUGGCUCAGUUCAGAUUGUAGGCUGCAACUCGCCUACAUGAAGGAGGAAUCGCUAGUAAUCGCAGGUCAGCAUACUGCGGUGAAUACGUUCCCGGGCCUUGUACACACCGCCCGUCACACCAUGGGAGUUGGCCACGCCCGAAGUCGUUACUCCAACCGUUCGCGGAGGAGGAUGCCGAAGGCAGGGCUGAUGACUGGGGUGAAGUCGUAACAAGGUAGCCGUACCGGAAGGUGUGGCUGGAUCACCUCCUUUUAGGGAGACCUACCUACUCGAGAUCUGAAAGCAUAAAGCGAUUAGGAAAAGAGUUGGUCAUCCCAAGGUCGUUCAGGAUAUAGGUGCUGUCUUCCAAGCUAUUAUGGUUCGGUUCGUGGGCUAUUAGCUCAGGUGGUUAGAGCGCACCCCUGAUAAGGGUGAGGUCCCUGGUUCGAGUCCAGGAUGGCCCACCUUUGUUUCAGCUUUCAUUAGUUGUUAUGUAAUGAGAGAGAUAUUGAGGGGGUUUAGCUCAGUUGGUAGAGCGCCUGCUUUGCAAGCAGGAUGUCAACGGUUCGAGUCCGUUAACCUCCACUGGUUUAUAGAAAAAGGGAUAGGGGUCAUAGCAACUCAUCUUGAGAGCAAGAGAGCCUGCUGUGACGUGAAGUCCAGCCAGAACCUUGAAAACUGCAUAGUAAUUUGUCAGGUAGGAAUCGAUUGACUUUUAAGUCAGUCGAUAAAUAUCACAGACACCAAUGUGGAUUGAUGUGCUACAUCAAGUGGUCAAGCUACAAAGGGCUGAUGGUGGAUACCUAGGCACACAGAGGCGAAGAAGGACGUGGUUACCGACGAUAUGCCCCGGGGAGUUGGAAGCAAGCAUUGAUCCGGGGGUUUCCGAAUGGGGCAACCCUAAACAUGGCUACCUGAAUCUAUAGGGUAGAACAAGCUAACGCAGCGAAUUGAAACAUCUUAGUAGCUGUAGGAAGAGAAAGAAAACUCGAUUCCCUUAGUAGCGGCGAGCGAAGCGGGAAGAGCCUAAACCAGUGGUUUUCACCACUGGGGUUGUGGGACAGCGACAUGGAAUCUAGCGGUUAGACGAAGCAGUUGAGUGCUGCAUCAGAGAAGGUGAGAAUCCUGUAGUCGAAAGCUUAAAGAUACUAGCUGAAUCCCGAGUAGGCCGGAGCACGUGGAAUUCCGGUUGAAUCAUCGAGGACCACCUCGAAAGGCUAAAUACUCCUGUGUGACCGAUAGUGAAAC
RNAcentral lists this ribosomal RNA (2382 nucleotides) under Drouetiella lurida ACKU668. RNAcentral describes it as "partial contains 16S ribosomal RNA, 16S-23S ribosomal RNA intergenic spacer, and 23S ribosomal RNA". The stretch from base 1 to 1407 matches the Rfam family "Bacterial small subunit ribosomal RNA". The record is from RNAcentral. Lineage: Bacteria; Bacillati; Cyanobacteriota; Cyanophyceae; Oculatellales; Oculatellaceae.